Molecule: long non-coding RNA, 216 nt
Filed under: Elaeis guineensis (African oil palm)
Lineage: Eukaryota; Viridiplantae; Streptophyta; Magnoliopsida; Arecales; Arecaceae
Description: long non-coding RNA (EGUI_LNC073023)
Source: RNAcentral
CUCGUCAUACAUAGGCACAUGAUCCUUCAUCUCUAAACAGGCAUAACCCUUAUUGUUUCAGGUUUUCUCAUGAGGUGUGAUGUUAGUUUAUCAUUUUUAACAAUACCCACAUUUAAAAGAUUUGUAGCAUAUGCAUUGUACACACAGAUAAUCAUAUAUUCAUUAUAAUUAGUAUUUUGCAAGUGCAAUGCAUGGUAUUUUUAUAUAAAAAAGAUG